UACGGAGGGCGCGAGCGUUGUUCGGAAUUAUUGGGCGUAAAGCGCACGUAGGCGGCUCGGUAAGUCUCACUGUGAAAGCCCGGGGCUCAACCUCGGGAGGCCAGGGGAUACUGUCGAGCUGGAGACAAGCAGAGGUUGGUAGAAUUCCGGGUGUAGCGGUGGAAUGCGUAGAGAUCCGGAGGAAUACCAGAGGCGAAGGCGGCCAACUGGGCUUGGUCUGACGCUGAGGUGCGAAAGCGUGGGGAGCGAACAGGAUUAGAACCCCGGUAGUCC
Molecule: ribosomal RNA, 273 nt
Filed under: uncultured prokaryote
Description: partial 16S ribosomal RNA
Rfam family: Bacterial small subunit ribosomal RNA
Source: RNAcentral